AACGAACGCUGGCGGCAUGCCUAACACAUGCAAGUCGAACGAGACCUGCGGGUCUAGUGGCGCACGGGUGCGUAACGCGUGGGAACCUGCCCUUAGGUUCGGAAUAACUCCCCGAAAGAGGUGCUAAUACCGGAUAAUGUCUUCCGACCAAAGAUUUAUCGCCUUUGGAUGGGCCUGCGUUGGAUUAGCUAGUUGGUAGGGUAAAAGCCUACCAAGGCGACGUUCCAUAGCUGGUCUGAGAGGAUGAUCAGCGACACUGGUACUGAGACACGGCCCAGACUCCUACGGGAGGCAGCAGUGGGGAAUAUUGGACAAUGGGCGAAAGCAUGAUCCAGCUAUGCCGGGUGAGUGAUGAAGGCCUUAGGGUUGUACAGCUCUUUUACACGUGAUGAUAAUGACAGUACCGGGAGAAUAAGCACCGGCUAACUCCGUG
Molecule: ribosomal RNA, 433 nt
Filed under: uncultured bacterium
Lineage: Bacteria
Description: partial 16S ribosomal RNA
Rfam family: Bacterial small subunit ribosomal RNA
Source: RNAcentral